UACAGAGGGGGCAAGCGUUGUUCGGAAUUACUGGGCGUAAAGGGCGCGUAGGCGGCCUUCUAAGUCGAACGUGAAAUCCCCGGGCUCAACCCGGGAACUGCGUCCGAUACUGGAAGGCUUGAAUCCGGGAGAGGGAUGCGGAAUUCCUGGUGUAGCGGUGAAAUGCGCAGAUAUCAGGAGGAACACCGGUGGCGAAGGCGGGUCUCUGGGCAGUAACUGACGCUGAGGAGCGAAAGCGUGGGUAGCAAACAGG
RNAcentral lists this ribosomal RNA (253 nucleotides) under uncultured bacterium. RNAcentral's name for it is "partial 16S ribosomal RNA". It matches the Rfam family "Bacterial small subunit ribosomal RNA", at positions 524 to 776 of the family's 1533-position model. The record is from RNAcentral.